Molecule: long non-coding RNA, 398 nt
Filed under: Capsella grandiflora
Lineage: Eukaryota; Viridiplantae; Streptophyta; Magnoliopsida; Brassicales; Brassicaceae
Description: long non-coding RNA (CGRA_LNC000113)
Source: RNAcentral
CCUGUUAUCAUUCAAGCUUCCAAAAGUUGGAAAAUCCAGCAAAAUUCAAGGACAAUCUUUAGCUUUUGCACAUAAACUAUCAACAUUUACAAACUAAUUGUCCUACCAUUCUUCAAAAUAGAUAAAAAUCAGCAGAGCAAAACUAGAAAGGAAAGUUCUUUUAGCCGGAUAAUACCUGAAUGGUGAGCUCCAGGCGCAGGAUAGCCUGCAGGAGGAUAACCUCCAGGUGCGGGAGGAUAACCACCUUGUGCGGGAGGGUAUGCACCAGGAGGGUAUCCAGCAGGCGGAUAGCCACCAGCUGGAGGAUACCCUUGUGGUGGGUAACCUUGUGGCGGGUAACCACCUUGACCGGGUGGGUAAUGAUGUCCUCCUCCAGGGAAAUGAAAUCCUUUGUCUUG